Molecule: ribosomal RNA, 249 nt
Filed under: uncultured bacterium
Lineage: Bacteria
Description: partial 16S ribosomal RNA
Rfam family: Bacterial small subunit ribosomal RNA
Source: RNAcentral
GACAGAGGGUGCAAACGUUGCUCGGAAUCACUGGGCGUAAAGGGCGUGUAGGCGGGACGGUAAGUCGGGCGUGAAAUCCCUAGGCUCAACCUAGGAACUGCACUCGAAACUACCAUUCUUGAGUGUCGGAGAGGAAGCGGAAUUCCUGGUGUAGAGGUGAAAUUCGUAGAUAUCAGGAGGAACACCAGUGGCGAAGGCGGCUUCUGGACGAUAACUGACGCUGAGACGCGAAAGCGUGGGAGCAACAGG